RNAcentral lists this ribosomal RNA (500 nucleotides) under uncultured bacterium. Its description in RNAcentral is "partial 16S ribosomal RNA". It matches the Rfam family "Bacterial small subunit ribosomal RNA", at positions 30 to 523 of the family's 1533-position model. The record is from RNAcentral.
AUUGAACGCUGGCGGCAUGCCUUACACAUGCAAGUCGAACGGCAGCACGGGAGCAAUCCUGGUGGCGAGUGGCGAACGGGUGAGUAAAGUAUCGGAACGUGCCCAGUCGUGGGGGAUAACGUAGCGAAAGUUACGCUAAUACCGCAUACGAUCUAUGGAUGAAAGCGGGGGAUCGCAAGACCUCGCGCGAUUGGAGCGGCCGAUAUCAGAUUAGGUAGUUGGUGGGGUAAAGGCUCACCAAGCCGACGAUCUGUAGCUGGUCUGAGAGGACGACCAGCCACACGGGGACUGAGGCACGGCCCAGACUCCUACGGGAGGCAGCAGUGGGGAAUUUUGGACAAUGGGCGAAAGCCUGAUCCAGCAAUGCCGCGUGCAGGAAGAAGGCCUUCGGGUUGUAAACUGCUUUUGUACGGAGCGAAAAGGUCUCCUCUAAUACAGGGGGCUCAUGACGGUACCGUAAGAAUAAGCACUGGCUAACUCUGUGCCAGCCGCCGCCGUAA